This 212-nucleotide long non-coding RNA is filed under the name Homo sapiens (human). Its description in RNAcentral is "non-protein coding LINC01482:7". Lineage: Eukaryota; Metazoa; Chordata; Mammalia; Primates; Hominidae. The record is from RNAcentral.
GUCCCUUUUGCUGUCCAGAAAUCUCCCAAACUUGUGGCCGGUAACCUCUUCCUUUCUAUCCUUUCCGAAGAUUCCCUUUGGAUGGAAGUCAGCUGUGAAUGCUCUCCUGAUUUGCAUUCAAUUGUAUAAAUUGUCAUAGCAUGUCACCACGGAGACUUCCUUGUUCGUGUCUAUAUGGUUCAUACAUGGCCUUCCCCUUAAUUAAAGAUGUC